This 687-nucleotide ribosomal RNA is filed under the name uncultured Enterococcus sp. RNAcentral's name for it is "bacterial SSU rRNA". It matches the Rfam family "Bacterial small subunit ribosomal RNA", at positions 67 to 732 of the family's 1533-position model. Lineage: Bacteria; Bacillati; Bacillota; Bacilli; Lactobacillales; Enterococcaceae. The record is from RNAcentral.
UUCCUCCCGAGUGCUUGCACUCAAUUGGAAAGAGGAGUGGCGGACGGGUGAGUAACACGUGGGUAACCUACCCAUCAGAGGGGGAUAACACUUGGAAACAGGUGCUAAUACCGCAUAACAGUUUAUGCCGCAUGGCAUAAGAGUGAAAGGCGCUUUCGGGUGUCGCUGAUGGAUGGACCCGCGGUGCAUUAGCUAGUUGGUGAGGUAACGGCUCACCAAGGCCACGAUGCAUAGCCGACCUGAGAGGGUGAUCGGCCACACUGGGACUGAGACACGGCCCAGACUCCUACGGGAGGCAGCAGUAGGGAAUCUUCGGCAAUGGACGAAAGUCUGACCGAGCAACGCCGCGUGAGUGAAGAAGGUUUUCGGAUCGUAAAACUCUGUUGUUAGAGAAGAACAAGGACGUUAGUAACUGAACGUCCCCUGACGGUAUCUAACCAGAAAGCCACGGCUAACUACGUGCCAGCAGCCGCGGUAAUACGUAGGUGGCAAGCGUUGUCCGGAUUUAUUGGGCGUAAAGCGAGCGCAGGCGGUUUCUUAAGUCUGAUGUGAAAGCCCCCGGCUCAACCGGGGAGGGUCAUUGGAAACUGGGAGACUUGAGUGCAGAAGAGGAGAGUGGAAUUCCAUGUGUAGCGGUGAAAUGCGUAGAUAUAUGGAGGAACACCAGUGGCGAAGGCGGCUCUCUGG